Molecule: long non-coding RNA, 1020 nt
Organism: Chinchilla lanigera (long-tailed chinchilla)
Lineage: Eukaryota; Metazoa; Chordata; Mammalia; Rodentia; Chinchillidae
Exons: 3
Source: RefSeq, a predicted model, not a curated record
GGACAUCCAGAUAUAAACCAUAACUGCAGGGUAUUUCAGGGAGAAGAAACAAGAGCCCACAAGAACCAACAAAACCCUUCCUUGAGCAAGGGCUGGAGAAAUGGAAAGCAAUUGCCUAGACUCACUACAGCAUAGGACCUGUGCUGUGAAGGCAGGGCAGGAAGAUAUUCCUGGAGCACUAUGUGUCAGGCCUGGUGCCAAAACAUGAAAAAGGCCUGCCUUCCCGAUCCAUCACACCCUGCACUGGGCAGCAACGUCAGUGUUGCACACAUGGAGAAGACACCCUCAGAGAAGAUGCCCGGUGGCCUUGGCUACAUCUCCCAAAUACUGUCUCCCAACACAACACAGGCAGUGCUGCCGGAGACCCACAGGGAAGUCAAGCUGCACCCACCCUUGGCCAGCAGCCAGGGCUACUAGGAUUGCUGCCAGCUGGAGACAAAUCCCUCCCAAUGAAUCCAUGCUCCUCUCGGCAAAAGCACCCAGCUGCCUCGUCCUGCCCACACUGGGGAGAGAUUCUCAGCUGUGCUCUCAGCAGAAGAAAGCAGAGUGAGGCACAGUGUGAGAAGACUGAUCCUGUCCAUGCUGUCAGGUCACCAUAGCGCUGGCUGCUUUCAAGAGCCAGUGCUGUUUUGUGAGCAAGGCUGCACUCAUGGUGGCCCACUGGCCUUCUCCUCCACCAGGUGCCUGUGCCCACCCAGUGCCAAGGUCCCUGGCACAUCAGGGCUCCUGCCAACUGUGUCCAGAGCGCAUAGGUUGGGUGGUAGAUGGCAGCCUGUGGGUGCACUGGAGGCCAGUGCCUGAACGCCGGCGGGCAUCUGAGCCACUCUGGGAGCUGCAGGAGAAGAGCUGCAAGUGGUGGACUGUCAGAUCAAAGGGAGCGGCGUGAGUGACCGGCCACAGGAGACUACACUCAUUUCCCAUUGACAGAGUGCCCGCGCGCGGGGAAGGAGUCCUGGGCUUUGAAGGGCUUUGAAGGAUCGUUAUGCUAUUUUGAACAUGAAGUUACAAUUUCAGAGGCAA